Molecule: ribosomal RNA, 2351 nt
Filed under: human gut metagenome
Description: bacterial LSU rRNA
Rfam family: Bacterial large subunit ribosomal RNA
Source: RNAcentral
CGGGCGCACGGCGGAUGCCUUGGCACAGGGAGCCGAUGAAGGACGCGGCAAGCUGCGAUAAUCCCCGGCGAGGAGCACACAUCCUUCGACCCGGGGGUCUCCGAAUGGGCGAACCCAUGCACAGCAGUGUGCAUAUCCCCCCGCUGAACGCAUAGGCGGGGGGAGGACAACCCGGGGAACUGAAACAUCUAAGUACCCGGAGGAGAGGAAAUCAAUCUCGAGACUCCCCGAGUAGCGGCGAGCGAAAGGGGACCGAUGGCCAAACCGUCGAGCGGGCAUACCCGGCAGGGGUUCCGCCGACGGGGUUGCAGGGCCGCGCAUCCGGGGGCUGCCGCCCCCGGGCGCAGGUCCGGCUGGGGAGCGGAACGGCAUGGGAGGGCCGGCCGCAGCGGGUGACAGCCCCGUACGCGAACCCAGACCGGACGGCGCGACGCGGUCCCUGAGUAGGGCCGGGCACGUGAAACCCGGUCCGAACCUGGGUGGACCACCAUCCAAGCCUGAGUACUACCCUGUGACCGAUAGCGCACCAGUACCGUGAGGGAAAGGUGAAAAGCACCCCGGGAGGGGAGUGAAACAGUACCUGAAACCGUGCGCCCACGAGCAGUCGGAGCACCUUUAUGGUGUGACGGCGUGCCUUUUGUAGAAUGAGCCAGCGAGUCGCUGGCGCGGGGCGAGGUUAACCGAAAGGGAGCCGGAGCGAAAGCGAGCCUUAACAGGGCGACUUGAGUCCCGCGCCGCGGACGCGAAGCCGGGUGAGCUAUCCGUGGGCAGGCUGAAGCGGGGGUAAGACCCCGUGGAGGGCCGAACGCACGUCGGUUGAAAACGGCGGCGAUGACCUGCGGAUAGGGGGGAAAGGCCAAUCAAACCCGGAGAUAUCUCGUUCUCCCCGAAAUAGCUUUAGGGCUAGCGUCGCGCGUUCACCGCCGGAGGUAGAGCACCGGAUGGACGAGGGGGCUUCGCCGCCUACCGAAUCCAACCGAACUCCGAAUGCCGGCGGCCCAGAGCGCGGCAGUCAGAGCAUGUGGGCUAAGCUGUGUGCUCGAGAGGGAAACAGCCCGGACCGCCCGCUAAGGUCCCCAAGUUCCAGCCGAGUGGCAAAGGAUGUGCGUCCGCCCAGACAACCAGGAUGUUGGCUUAGAAGCAGCCAUCCAUUCAAAGAGUGCGUAACAGCUCACUGGUCGAGUGGACAUGCGCCGACAAUACACGGGGCUAAGCUGGACACCGAAGCGGCGGGAUUUUAAUUCAUUAGAAUCGGUAGGGGAGCUUCCCAUGGGCGGAGAAGCCGGAGGGCGACCGACGGUGGAGCGCAUGGGAGUGAGAAUGCUGGCAUGAGUAGCGAGAGACGAGAGAGUAACUCGUCCGCCGUGAACCCGAGGUUUCCUGGGCAAGGCUAAUCCUCCCAGGGUCAGUCGGGGGCUAAGGCGAGGCCGGUAGGCGUAGCCGACGCGCAGCAGGCAGACAUUCCUGCACCGCGCACGCGGCGCUACGACCGACGGGGCGACGGAUGGGGGUGGCUCGGCGGGGUUCUGGACGUCCCCGUGAUGGAGCGCGGCCCGCGGACCAGGGAAAUCCGGUCCGCAGGAGGGCGAGGCUCCGGACGAAGCACUUAAGCGAAGCGAGUGAGCCCGAGGUCCCUAGAAAAACCCCUAGGCAGGCGCGUGCGCGCCCGUACCGCAAACCGACACAGGUGGGUGGGUAGAACAUACCGAGGCGAUCGGGUCAACCAUGGUCAAGGAACUCGGCACAAUGGCCCCGUAACUUCGGGAGAAGGGGUGCCCGCGCGUACGUGAACCGGCUUGCCCGGGGAGCGGAGGCGGGCCGCAGUGGAGAGGCCCAAGCGACUGUUUACCAAAAACACAGGACUCUGCAGAAGCCGCAAGGCGACGUAUAGGGUCUGACGCCUGCCCGGUGCCGGAAGGUCACGCGGAGGGGUUAGCCGCAAGGCGAGGCCCCGAAGCCAAGCCCCGGUAAACGGCGGCCGUAACUAUAACGGUCCUAAGGUAGCGAAAUUCCUUGUCGGGUAAGUUCCGACCUGCACGAAAGGCGCAACGACUUGGGCGCUGUCUCGACCAUGGACCCGGUGAAAUUGCACUGGUCGUGAAGAUGCGACUUACCCGCGGAAGGACGGAAAGACCCCGUGAACCUUCACUGCAGCUUGGCAUUGGCCGCUGGUCCCGCGUGUAGAGGAUAGGCAGGAGGCAUCGAUCCGGAGGCGCCAGCCCCCGGGGAGCCGCCCUUGGAAUACUGCCCUCGCGCGACCGGCGUCCUAACCCGAGGCCGUCAACCGGCUCGGGGACCGUGCCAGGCGGGCAGUUUGACUGGGGCGGUCGCCUCCUAAAGGGUAACGGAGG